CAGUCCCUUAAAAUCAGGGACAGUUGGAAGCUAGGCCAAUGUAAGGGAGCAUUACAAUGACCAUCAAUGUAAGGGGCCACAGCACUGAUCACCGAUGUCAGGGGGCAUUUCUCCACAGACCACAAGUGUAAAAAGACACAACAGUUUUACUGUUUCCUUUUUAUAUGCGGUCAUUGUUAUGAUUUAUUUAAAUUUAUGAAUAAAACAUUGUACACCUUGCUGAUCAUGCUAAUGUACUAUGAGCUGUAGACAUAAUAAUUUUUAGUAGAGUUUCCUAAAACCUGACAAUUUCAAGGGUUUCCAAUAAUGUAAAAAAAAUGUAAAGAGGUACUUGUUAUCCCCAAUGCAUUUGCUCCUAACAUACUUCCCUUACCUCCUUUAUCUAGCCAAAGUUAUACUGUAUUUCUGUAGUGUCUGUAACACUGUGAUCAUGACUUUGUAAAUUUCUAUUGAAUAUACUUAUGAUAUAUAUAUAUAUAUAUUAGCAUCACUAUUCUAAACACUUAAAUUAAACAAAUUAUUAAAACAGUAGGUGUAAAAAAUACACAACUAUUACUCUGUACAUGAUCUGUAUCACCAUUUUAAAAGUAAAGUUUACAUAUUUUUUAAAAAAGAAAGUUAAAUGUAUUUUUAAUUUUAUUUCUGCUUCUUUAUAUAAUUGUUAAUUUUGCACACCCCUAUGUAUUCUAGGAGACUUUUUAUAACUGCCAAUUUCUAUAAUAGUAGAAAAGUUGCAUUUUAGAAUAUAAAGAAUAUCAACAGGUGAUAAAAAAACGUGGAGGGACAACCUCCUGUGUGUUUCAUUCACUUGCAUGUAUUGUAUGAGAAUAAAAUAAAUUAAAUUGUUUUCCAGA
Molecule: long non-coding RNA, 854 nt
Organism: Rana temporaria (common frog)
Lineage: Eukaryota; Metazoa; Chordata; Amphibia; Anura; Ranidae
Exons: 2
Source: RefSeq, a predicted model, not a curated record